RNAcentral lists this ribosomal RNA (468 nucleotides) under uncultured bacterium. RNAcentral's name for it is "partial 16S ribosomal RNA". It matches the Rfam family "Bacterial small subunit ribosomal RNA", at positions 28 to 507 of the family's 1533-position model. The record is from RNAcentral.
GACGAACGCUGGCGGCGUGCUUAACACAUGCAAGUCGAACGGAAAGGCCCUGCUUUUGUGGGGUGCUCGAGUGGCGAACGGGUGAGUAACACGUGAGUAACCUGCCCUUGACUUUGGGAUAACUUCAGGAAACUGGGGCCAAUACCGGAUAGGAUCUCCUGCUGCAUGGUGGGGGUUGGAAAGUUUCGGCGGUGGGGGAUGGACUCGCGGCUUAUCAGCUUGUGGGUGGGGUAGUGGCUUACCAAGGCUUUGACGGGUAGCCGGCCUGAGAGGGUGACCGGCCACAUUGGGACUGAGAUACGGCCCAGAGUCCUACGGGAGGCAGAGGUGGGGAAUAUUGCACAAUGGGCGGAAGCCUGAUGCAGCAACGCCGCGUGCGGGAUGACGGCCUUCGGGUUGUAAACCGCUUUCGCCUGUGACGAAGCGUGAGUGACGGUACCGGGUAAAGAAGCACCGGCUAACUACGUG